This 228-nucleotide long non-coding RNA is filed under the name Mytilus galloprovincialis (Mediterranean mussel). Lineage: Eukaryota; Metazoa; Mollusca; Bivalvia; Mytilida; Mytilidae. The record is from RNAcentral.
CGAGAGCGUAGUGAAAGCGUGAUUCUAUUCGGAGAGACUGCGCUACGAUCUCACAGCGAUGUUAUUACAACCUCACUACGACCAUCACGUUCUCACUGCGACCCAACUACUCUUUUACUACGACUAUACCACGUUUACACCACGCUGUUCAAGAUCACAGUACGAUUCUAGCACGCCCAUGCCGUCCUCGUCACGCUCUUCUUACGACCUGACUACGUUCAUACUACG